GCUAAGUUCGUGCCAGCGGCCGCGGUAAAACGAAAGGGGGGAGGGGUAAUCGGAAUUACUGGGCGUAAAGCGCGCGUAGGCGGCUAUUUAAGUCUGAUGUGAAAUCCCCGGGCUCAACCUGGGAAUUGCAUCGGAUACUGGGUAGCUAGAAUGCGGUAGAGGGGGGUGGAAUUCCAGGUGUAGCGGUGAAAGGCGUAGAUAUCUGGAGGAACACCAGUGGCGAAGGCGGCCCCCUGGACUGACAUUGACGCUGAGGUGCGAAAGCGUGGGGAUCAAACAGGAUUAGAUACCCCAGUAGUC
This 300-nucleotide ribosomal RNA is filed under the name uncultured Lactobacillus sp. RNAcentral's name for it is "bacterial SSU rRNA". It matches the Rfam family "Bacterial small subunit ribosomal RNA", at positions 496 to 795 of the family's 1533-position model. Lineage: Bacteria; Bacillati; Bacillota; Bacilli; Lactobacillales; Lactobacillaceae. The record is from RNAcentral.